This 393-nucleotide ribosomal RNA is filed under the name uncultured bacterium. RNAcentral's name for it is "partial 16S ribosomal RNA". It matches the Rfam family "Bacterial small subunit ribosomal RNA", at positions 523 to 918 of the family's 1533-position model. The record is from RNAcentral.
AUACGGAGGAUCCGAGCGUUAUCCGGAUUUAUUGGGUUUAAAGGGAGUGUAGGCGGACGCUUAAGUCAGUUGUGAAAGUUUGCGGCUCAACCGUAAAAUUGCAGUUGAUACUGGGUGUCUUGAGUACAGUAGAGGCAGGCGGAAUUCGUGGUGUAGCGGUGAAAUGCUUAGAUAUCACGAAGAACUCCGAUUGCGAAGGCAGCCUGCUGGACUGUAACUGACGCUGAUGCUCGAAAGUGUGGGUAUCAAACAGGAUUAGAUACCCUGGUAGUCCACACAGUAAACGAUGAAUACUCGCUGUUUGCGAUAUACAGUAAGCGGCCAAGCGAAAGCGUUAAGUAUUCCACCUGGGGAGUACGCCGGCAACGGUGAAACUCAAAUGAAUUGACGGGG